This 515-nucleotide ribosomal RNA is filed under the name uncultured bacterium. RNAcentral describes it as "partial 16S ribosomal RNA". It matches the Rfam family "Bacterial small subunit ribosomal RNA", at positions 28 to 523 of the family's 1533-position model. The record is from RNAcentral.
GAUGAACGCUGGCGGCGUGCCUAAUACAUGCAAGUCGAGCGAAUGGAUUAAGAGCUUGCUCUUGUGAAGUUAGCGGCGGACGGGUGAGUAACACGUGGGUAACCUGCCCAUAAGACUGGGAUAACUCCGGGAAACCGGGGCUAAUACCGGAUAACAUUUUGAACCGCAUGGUUCGAAAUUGAAAGGCGGCUUCGGCUGUCACUUAUGGAUGGAACCGCGUCGCAUUAGAUAGUUGGUGAGGUAGCGGCUCACCAAGGCAACGAUGCGUAGCCGACCUGAGAGGGUGAUCGGCCACACUGGGACUGAGACACGGCCCAGACUCCUACGGGGGGCAGCAGUAGGGAAUCUUCCGCAAUGGACGAAAGUCUGACGGAACAACGCCGCGUGAGUGAUGAAGGCUUUCGGGUCGUAAAACUCUGUUGUUAGGGAAGAACAAGUGCUAGUUGAAUAAGCUGGCACCUUGACGGUACCUAACCAGAAAGCCACGGCUAACUACGUGCCAGCCGCCGCAGUAA